This 497-nucleotide ribosomal RNA is filed under the name uncultured bacterium. RNAcentral describes it as "partial 16S ribosomal RNA". It matches the Rfam family "Bacterial small subunit ribosomal RNA", at positions 28 to 507 of the family's 1533-position model. The record is from RNAcentral.
GAUGAACGCUGGCGGCGUGCCUAAUACAUGCAAGUCGAGCGAACGGACGAGAAGCUUGCUUUUCUGAUGUUAGCGGCGGACGGGUGAGUAACACGUGGAUAACCUACCUAUAAUACUGGGAUAACUUCGGGAAACCGGAGCUAAUACCGGAUAAUAUUUUGAACCGCAUGGUUCAAAAGUGAAUGACGGUCUUGCUGUCACUUAUAGAUGGAUCCGCGCUGCAUUAGCUAGUUGGUAAGGUAACGGCUUACCAAGGCAACGAUGCAUAGCCGACCUGAGAGGGUGAUCGGCCACACUGGAACUGAGACACGGUCCAGACUCCUACGGGAGGCAGCAGUAGGGAAUCUUCCGCAAUGGGCGAAAGCCUGACGGAGCAACGCCGCGUGAGUGAUGAAGGUCUUCGGAUCGUAAAACUCUGUUAUUAGGGAAGAACAUAUGUGUAAGUAACUGUGCACAUCUUGACGGUACCUAAUCAGAAAGCCACGGCUAACUACGUG